AGUAAAAGAAGCAAUCAGGAAAGAAGCAUUGCUGUCCAUGGGCAGAACUAUCCCAGGAAGUUAAUCGCGAUAAACACAAGCGCCAAGCAGCGUCCCCUCUGUGCCUCUCCCUGCCUGGAGAUCCGUACUGAAAUCACUGCGGGCAUCUGACUGCUUCACGUAGCCCGGGGAAGUUUUACUGUGGGUCUUCUCAGAGCCAAAACCAGAAAGAAGCACUUCUGAAAAAACCCAACGAAGCUGAAAGAAGCGGUUUUUUGCAGCGGUACCUGCCAGCGAGACUUGUUCCUUUGCCACAAGGGGUGCUGGGCAAAAGCCUCUAUCCCUCAUUAAAUCAAUAAAAUCAAGUGUCCUUUAUUUU
RNAcentral lists this long non-coding RNA (358 nucleotides) under Rattus norvegicus (Norway rat). RNAcentral describes it as "long non-coding RNA NONRATT001971". Lineage: Eukaryota; Metazoa; Chordata; Mammalia; Rodentia; Muridae. The record is from RNAcentral.